Nerophis ophidion (straightnose pipefish) is the source of this 803-nucleotide long non-coding RNA. RefSeq lists it as uncharacterized. NCBI's taxonomy places the organism in Eukaryota, Metazoa, Chordata, Actinopteri, Syngnathiformes, Syngnathidae. The transcript has 2 exons. The record is from RefSeq and is a predicted model, not a curated record.
GGAAGACAACGACACAAAGGUGCUCCUCUUAUUUAGACUUUUUGUUUAUGGAGGUGGGAAAGGUUACGAUCCAGAGAAGAAAGACUACUCAGGUUUUGAGGCCUGGUUGCAGUGUUACUAUGUGGAUGGAAUGAAGUCUGUACGCGACCACAAUGGCAGGACUAUGUGGUUCAAAGUAUGCAAACACAUUUUCAUACGUAACAACUAUAUUUGUAGCACGUAUUGACUAAUAUAAAAUGGUGUCAUUUCAGGGCGAUCCAGGUCCUAUGGCUCCUAAAGGUAAACGCCAGAAAAAAUAGUUGAGAUACCAUUACACAUAAGAGAAAGCUUAGUGUGUCUUUAUCUUUUCUCACACACCAGAAUCAAAGUCUCCAAAGGCCAAAAAGAGAAAAGAUACAGAUGCAGACCAUGAUUACCCCCGCAAGAAAAAGGUAUAUUCAGUAGGUAAUCACCACCAGCACAUAGAAAUCUAACCCCAUUGUGGCUGUACUUCAGGUGUCCAGGAAACACAACUCUGACAGCACAGUGAAGAAAAAAGCAGCCAAAAAGCCCACAAAAGCAGCAAAGGAAGAAGAAAAUGGACCUCAAGAAGAAGCCACACCCAGAAGAAGAUCAGCAAACACACCUCAGCAAGAACCGAAUCCACGUCAGGCAGGAGGAAAAAGAACAAUACAGAGCCAGCUGCAGGCUUCAAGACACGUAGCGGGAGACUGACAAGACAGAAUGUCAAGUAAAGGACAUCUAUUGGAAAAUACUGUUUUUAUUCCAUGAUACAUAUUUUUAAUAAACAUUCCACACGUUUA